GAUGAAGAACGUAGCGAAAUGCGAUAAGUAAUGUGAAUUGCAGAAUUCAGUGAAUCAUCGAAUCUUUGAACGCACAUUGCGCCCGCCAGUAUUCUGGCGGGCAUGCCUGUUCGAGCGUCAUUUCAACCAUCAAGCCCCAGGCUUGUGUUGGGGACCUGCGGCUGCCGCAGGCCCUGAAAACCAGUGGCGGGCUCGCUGUCACACCGGGCGUAGUAGAUUUUAUCUCGCUCAGGGCGUGCUGCGGGAUCCGGCCGUUAAAAAGCCUUUUUUACCCAAGGUUGACCUCGGAUCAGGUAGGAAGACCCGCUGAACUUAAGCAUAUCAAUAAGCGGAGGA
RNAcentral lists this unclassified non-coding RNA (336 nucleotides) under soil metagenome. RNAcentral describes it as "partial contains 5.8S ribosomal RNA, internal transcribed spacer 2, and large subunit ribosomal RNA". The stretch from base 1 to 120 matches the Rfam family "5.8S ribosomal RNA", at positions 35 to 154 of the family's 154-position model. The record is from RNAcentral.